GACGAACGCUGGCGGCGUGCUUAACACAUGCAAGUCGAACGAAGAGCGAUGGAAGCUUGCUUCUAUCAAUCUUAGUGGCGAACGGGUGAGUAACGCGUAAUCAACCUGCCCUUCAGAGGGGGACAACAGUUGGAAACGACUGCUAAUACCGCAUACGAUCUAAUCUCGGCAUCGAGGAUAGAUGAAAGGUGGCCUCUACAUGUAAGCUAUCACUGAAGGAUGGGAUUGCGUCUGAUUAGCUAGUUGGAGUGGUAACGGCCCACCAAGGCGAUGAUCAGUAGACGGUCUGAGAGGAUGAACGGCCACAUUGGGACUGAGACACGGCCCAGACUCCUACGGGAGGCAGCAGUGGGGAAUCUUCCGCAAUGGACGAAAGUCUGACGGAGCAACGCCGCGUGAGUGAUGACGGCCUUCGGGUUGUAAAGCUCUGUUAAUCGGGACGAAAGGCCUUCUUGCGAAUAGUGAGAAGGAUUGACGGUACCGGAAUAGAAAGCAACGGCUAACUACGUG
RNAcentral lists this ribosomal RNA (510 nucleotides) under uncultured bacterium. Its description in RNAcentral is "partial 16S ribosomal RNA". It matches the Rfam family "Bacterial small subunit ribosomal RNA", at positions 28 to 507 of the family's 1533-position model. The record is from RNAcentral.